This 179-nucleotide unclassified non-coding RNA is filed under the name plant metagenome. RNAcentral describes it as "partial contains small subunit ribosomal RNA and internal transcribed spacer 1". The stretch from base 1 to 46 matches the Rfam family "Eukaryotic small subunit ribosomal RNA", at positions 1786 to 1831 of the family's 1831-position model. The record is from RNAcentral.
AAGUCAUAACAAGGUCUCCGUAGGUGAACAUGCGGAGGGAUCAUUAAAGAUGCCUUCGGGCUUUUAAUACCUUAUACACCGUGAACAGUUGGGGGAACUUGUCGCAAGACUGGAACCCGAGGUCGAGAGACCUACUUUAUACAUCAAGUCAUGAACGUAACAACUAUAAACAAAUACAA